UUAUUAUAUGCAAGGUAUUAGAUGC
This 25-nucleotide non-coding RNA is filed under the name Mus musculus (house mouse). The record is from RNAcentral. Lineage: Eukaryota; Metazoa; Chordata; Mammalia; Rodentia; Muridae.